Molecule: ribosomal RNA, 497 nt
Filed under: uncultured bacterium
Lineage: Bacteria
Description: partial 16S ribosomal RNA
Rfam family: Bacterial small subunit ribosomal RNA
Source: RNAcentral
GAUGAACGCUGGCGGCGUGCCUAAUACAUGCAAGUCGAGCGAACAGACGAGGAGCUUGCUCCUCUGAUGUUAGCGGCGGACGGGUGAGUAACACGUGGAUAACCUACCUAUAAGACUGGGAUAACUUCGGGAAACCGGAGCUAAUACCGGAUAACAUGUUGAACCGCAUGGUUCAACAGUGAAAGACGGUCUUACUGUCACUUAUAGAUGGAUCCGCGCCGCAUUAGCUAGUUGGUAAGGUAACGGCUUACCAAGGCAACGAUGCGUAGCCGUCCUGAGAGGGUGAUCGGCCACACUGGAACUGAGACACGGUCCAGACUCCUACGGGAGGCAGCAGUAGGGAAUCUUCCGCAAUGGGCGAAAGCCUGACGGAGCAACGCCGCGUGAGUGAAGAAGGUCUUCGGAUCGUAAAACUCUGUUAUUAGGGAAGAACAAAUGUGUAAGUAACUAUGCACGUCUUGACGGUACCUAAUCAGAAAGCCACGGCUAACUACGUG